Molecule: long non-coding RNA, 745 nt
Filed under: Phoenix dactylifera (date palm)
Lineage: Eukaryota; Viridiplantae; Streptophyta; Magnoliopsida; Arecales; Arecaceae
Description: long non-coding RNA (PDAC_LNC013651)
Source: RNAcentral
AUUUCUCCUCUAGUUAUAAGGAUCUAGAUUGUUUGAAAAAGAUGAGGACUUGAUAAACAAAAAAAAACACGGAGUUUUCUAUUGAAAUCAACAAUACUGACAUAUGUUUACGUACUUAGUCACAAGAUUAGAACGAAUCUGUAUCAUAUCAUCAGCUAAGAUUGGUUGUGAGCUGGUUUGGUUGUCUUCGUGUUUUUGUAAAAGAUUUUUUUAAGGUGCUUGUUUUUUGUAUUUUGAAAAUUACGGCGACAUCUUUCAAUUUUAGGUGAGAAGCAUAUCGACUUCAAAUUUUUAAUUUUUUUUAAUUGGAUUUCUCUUUUUUCCACUGCAAUAUGACCGUACUGUCCAUCAAGCUUCAACACCAUUAACGACAGUACGAGAAAUGACUAAUAAAAUUAAAAUUAUUAGAUAGGUACUUUUUGUUUGUUCUCUUACUAGAUUCGGACAAAGUUUAUCAAUUUAGUUAGCUGUGCCAUCAAAAUAUAGGAAUAGCAAUUUACUCCAUUUGUAUCCAACUUUAUUUAGCCAUGGUGGAGCCAGUUUUUUGUUUAGAUCUGACGGCAUUGGUGGUUCUUCAUUCAAAAACUUGCAACGGAUUUAAAAAGAACAUAGAUAAUAACAAUACUUUAUAGAAAUAAUGGAGAAGAAAAUAGUAUGAUUAAUCAUAUGAAAAACUACAAGGUACAUGCUUAGCUAUUUGAUAGUUAGUUUUUUUAUUUAAAAAAUAUUUGAUUAUCUAAAAAAA